AAUAUAUAUUUGAAUUAACUGUGAGUAGCUCAGUUCAUUGAAAUAUAAUAACCAGAAAAUGCUUUUAAUUUAAAAUAUCCCACCUACCGGCUACCGGACUCUUCUUUCUUAAAUAAUUCUAUUAAUCUCAUUCUGAAGUCUGAACAACAGCUAACUGUUCCCACAAUUGUUUCAUAUCAUGUCAUGACAUUGACUGAUUGGGAGCCUCAAAAGGCAUCUUCUCCAAAAGAGUACUGCUAGUAAAUAAAUAAAUUGAAGUGCCUCAAUAUCAGUUCAUGGUUGAUGUUGCUGAAAAAUGAGAAAUGUACAAGAAAACUAUCUUCUCUUUUUUCUUUUUCUGAUCUUAGCUGCUUUAUCAUCUCAAGUUUAUAGUAUUUCCAGUGAUUUUUCAAUAUUAGACAGAUCAAAUGAGUUCAUAUCAGAUGAAAGAGUUUUCCAACUUUUCCAAGAAUGGAAACAGAAGCAUGGGAAAGUUUACAAGGAUGAGAAAGAGGAAGAAAUGAGGUUAGAGAAGUUUAGAUGGAAUGUGAAGUAUAUAGUGGAAAAGAACUCAGAAAGGAAGUCAGCUUCAGAUCAUUUUGUUGGUCUGACUAAUUUUGCUGAUAUGAGCAAUGAAGAGUUCAGGGAAGUUUAUGGUUCAAAGAUAAAGAUACCCUUUAACAAGAGAAAGAUUAUUCAGAUGAAGAAUGUGGAAGAAAAAAUAACUUCAAUUUCUUGCGAUGCUCCUCGUUCGAGGGAUUGGAGGAAACUUGGGGCUGUCACUAAGGUCAAGAACCAAGGCCUAUGUGGAGCUUGCUGGGCAUUUUCAGCAUGUGGAGCCAUAGAGGGAAUAAAUGCAAUAGUUACUGGUGAACUUAUUAGCCUUUCUGUCCAAGAACUUGUUAAUUGUGACAAUUCAACCAAUAAUGCUUGUUAUGGUGGAUAUAUGGAUCCUGCUUUUGAGUGGGUGAUCAAUAAUGGCGGCAUUGCUUCAGAACCUGAUUACCCAUACACGGCCUCUCAAGGCGCAUGCAAUAUCACCAAGGUGAACCAUAAGGUUGUAACAAUUGAUGGAUACCAAGAUGUUCCAGUAGAGAAAACUGCCCUUCUUUGUGCUGUCGCUCAACAACCUGUCAGUGUUGGCAUCGAUGGAACAAGUGCUGAUUUUCAGCUAUAUAAAGGGGGAAUCUAUGAUGGAAGUUGCUCUAGUAGUCCAGAUGACUUGAGCCAUGGAGUACUAAUAGUAGGAUAUGGUUCCAAAGGAGACGAUGACUACUGGAUAAUCAAGAACUCAUGGGGUACAUCAUGGGGAUUGGAGGGGUAUGGAUAUAUAAGAAGAAACAGUGAUUUGCCAUAUGGUGUUUGUGCUAUUAAUUCAUUGGCUUCUUAUCCAACAAAGGAAAUAUCUUUUGUACAAUCUCCUUAUCCGUCUCCUGCCGCUCAACUACCUCCUCCACCAUUUCCUCUGCCCUCUCCACCAUCUUCAAUCGUCCCACCACCUCCUCCAUCCCCUUCUCCCCCUCCACCUUCUGCACCAUCUCCUUAUCUGUAUCUGCCCCCUCCACCACCUUUCGAGCCAUCUCCUUAUCCGUAUUUGCCCCCUCCACCACCUUUCGAGCCAUCUCCUUAUCCGUCUCCAGCUGCUCCACCACCUACUCCACCAUCCCCUCUGCCCCCUCCUCCACCUUCUGCACCAUUUCCUUAUCCGUCUCCGAUUGUUCCUCCACCUCCUCCACCAUCUCCUUAUCCGUCUCCAGCCAUUCCAUUAUUCCCUCCACCACCUCCACUCCCAUCCCCUCAGCCACCUUUUGCACCAUAUCCUUAUCCAUCUCCAACCGUUUCACCACCUUCUCCUUAUCCGUCUCCAGUUGUUCCACCACCUCUUUCACCAUACCCUCCAUCACCUCCAUUACCUUCCCCUCCGCCCCCUACACUACCUCCUCCACCGUCCCCUUUGCUCCCUCCAUCACCUCCUCCGCCAUCCCGUUCUCCUCCUCCAAACUUCCCACCAUCUCCUGCGCCCCCUCCUCCCCCUCCACCAUCUCCUCCACCAACCCCUUCGCCCCCUCCACUCCCUCCACCCUCUCCAUCACCUCCUCCACCCUCCCUCCCGCCUCCACCACCUCCUUCGCCAUCCCCUCCGCCCCCUCCACCACCUUCUCUUCUCCUUUCACCCCCUCCACCAUCCCCUCCGCCCCCACCACCUCCUUCACCUCCUCCACCAUCCCAUCCGCCCCCUCCUCCACCUACUCUGCCAUCCCCUUCGCCUUUUUCUCCACCAUCCCCUUCGCCCUCACCACCACCUCCUCCACCAUCCCCUCCACCACCUCCUCCGCCAUCCCCACCACCUCCUCCGCCGUCCCCUCCACCCCCUCCUCCAUAUUCACCACCGCCUCCUCCUCCAUCCCCUCCGCCAUCCCCACCACCUCCUCCGUCGUCCCCUCCACCCCCUCCUCCAUCCCCUCCGCCAUCCCCACCACCUCCUCCUUCGUCCCCUCCGCCCCCUCCUCCAUCCCCUCCGCCACCACCACCUCCUCCUCCUCCUCCUUCACCCCCUCCGCCCUCCCCACCACCUCCUCCACCAUCCCCUCCGCCACCCCCUCCGCCCUCCCCACCACCUCCUCCACCGUCCCCUCCGCCACCCCCCUCCUCCACCUCCUCCGCCAUCCCCUCCGCCCCCUUCACCCCCUCCGCCCUCCCCACCACCUCCUCCACCAUCCCCUCCGCCACCCCCUCCGCCCUCCCCACCACCUCCUCCACCGUCCCCUCCGCCACCCCCUCCUCCACCUCCUCCGCCAUCCCCUCCGCCCCCUUCACCCCCUCCGCCCUCCCCACCACCUCCUUCACCAUCCCCUCCGCCACCUCCGCCCCCUUCACCCCCUCCGCCCUCCCCACCACCUCCUUCACCAUCCCCUCCGCCACCUCCUCCGCCACCUCCGCCCUCCCCACCACCUCCUUCACCAUCCCCUCCGCCACCUCCUCCGCCACCUCCACCACCUUCUCCAAAACCAAGUGAAUGUGGAGGCUGGUAUCAUUGUCCUGAAUAUCAAACAUGCUGCUGUAAGUUGUAUUUCUUUGGCAUAUGCUUUCGUCAUCAGUGUUGUCCUUAUGAGAAUGGUGUUUGCUGUCAUGGAUCAGAUUAUUGUUGCCCAACUGAAUAUCCCAUUUGUGAUGUUUAUGAAGGCCUCUGCCUCAAGAGGUUUCAUGAUACCGUGGGAGUGGCGGCAAAGAAGAGAAGAAUGGCCCAAUAUAAGUUACCAUGGAGUACAAAUACUAAAGAAACAGAGGAAAUGGGCCAAACUCUGAAAUGGAAGAGGAAGCAUGUUGCUCCAAUGUUCUGAGUUAAAUAAUUGUUAUCAUGCCUCUCAGCAUUCUUAAGAAUAAAUUCAGUUUUGGUUCUAACACCAAGAAUUUUGAUGAAUCAAACUUUUUAGCUGAAACCACAAACACAAUUCCUUAAUGAAUCUUGCUUGUGCAAAAAUAUGAAUUUCUGGAAAUACAGAACUAGAAAGAGAGUUAUGUAGCCCGGAAAUUCAACCCACCACAAGCAUUUCGUCAGCAGCUGCACUAUAGCUUUUGGUGAAGGUGGUCUUGGAUGUCUUUUAACCAUUUUCUUUUUAUAUACUUGAAAGAAAAUGGUGUAUGUGGAGGAGGAUACACGUGUAUGGAGGUGAAUCAUAAUUGUUUCUGGCUUCUGGUAAAGGAAACAUAGAAUGAUUAGAUUGCAUGAUGUAUAUACAUGUUAUUGUUUUCAGUAUAUUUGAUGGCUGCCUAGUAGCAUGA
RNA transcript from Solanum dulcamara, 3762 nucleotides. RefSeq lists it as uncharacterized. The record is from RefSeq and is a predicted model, not a curated record. The transcript is spliced from 5 exons. NCBI's taxonomy places the organism in Eukaryota, Viridiplantae, Streptophyta, Magnoliopsida, Solanales, Solanaceae.